ACGCAUCGUCGUUGCAAUCAUCCCUGGCACCUUCCCAACUACAAUACACAGUGCCCUAGAUGGAGUUUCCUUUUUGGAUCCAUUGUUGCAUACAAAACUCAAAUUCUUAUUACAUUAUAUUCACAAUUUUCUUUGCUUUUUAAUUUCUUUAUCUUCCGGUGUGUUUCAAUCGAAGAGAGAUGUACCAGUGGAGGAAAUUCGAGUUCUUCGAGGAAAAAUACGGGGGAAAGAGCAAGGUUCCUGAUGAUGUUAGUGGGAAGAUCGAGUGUUGCUCCAGCGGCAGAGGUAAGGUGGUCAUCGGCUCCGACGACGGCACCGUCAGCUUACUCGAUCGUGGUCUCAACUUUAAUUUCGCCUUUCCAGCUCAUUCCUCCUCCGUCCUCUUUCUCCAGCAGCUCAAACAACGCAACUUCCUUGUGACUGUUGGAGAGGAUGAGCAAAUAUCUCCUCAGCAAUCUGCCUUCUGCCUCAAGGUUUUUGACCUUGAUAAGAUGCAGCCAGAGGGCACUAGUUCAUCUGUACCUGAUUGCAUUGGAAUACUGCGAAUAUUCACUAAACAGUUCCCUCAGGCAAAGAUAACAUCAUUUUUAGUACUAGAGGAAGCUCCUCCAAUAUUGCUCAUAGCUAUUGGCUUAGACAAUGGUUGCAUUUACUGCAUCAAAGGGGACAUUGCGAGGGAGCGUAUUAAGCGCUUCCAACUUCAAGUGGAUACUGUUUCAGACAAAAGCCAUUCAUCCAUUACAGGUCUUGGAUUCAGAGUGGACGGUCAAGCCCUUCAGUUAUUUGCUGUAACUCCAAAUUCUGUGAGUUUAUUCAGCUUGCACAAUCAACCACCCAGGCGGCAAAUGCUAGAUCAGAUAGGGUGCACUGUCAAUAGUGUAACAAUGAGUGAUCGCUCGGAGUUGAUAAUUGGUCGACCUGAAGCUGUUUAUUUUUAUGAAAUUGAUGGGCGUGGUCCUUGUUGGGCAUUUGAGGGAGAGAAGAAAUUCCUAGGGUGCUUUCGUGGUUACCUUUUAUGUGUUAUUGCAGAUCAAAGAAGUGGCAAAGAUGCUUUCAAUGUUUAUGACCUGAAGAACCGCUUAAUAGCCCACAGUCUAGUAGUUAAGGAAGUUUCUCAUAUGCUCUGUGAAUGGGGUAACAUAAUACUUAUAAUGUCUGAUAAAUCAGCUUUGUGUAUUGGGGAGAAGGAUAUGGAAAGCAAGCUGGAUAUGCUCUUCAAGAAAAAUCUCUAUACUGUGGCCAUCAAUCUUGUUCAAAGUCAGCAAGCUGAUGCUGCAGCCACAGCAGAAGUGCUAAGGAAAUAUGGAGACCAUCUGUAUAGCAAACAAGAUUAUGAUGAGGCUAUGGCCCAGUACAUUAACACUAUUGGUCACCUUGAACCUUCAUAUGUGAUACAGAAGUUUCUGGACGCACAAAGAAUAUACAACCUUACAAAUUACUUAGAAAAUUUACAUGAGAAGGGUCUUGCUUCUAAAGAUCAUACUACUCUUCUCUUAAACUGCUAUACCAAAUUGAAAGAUGUUGACAAGCUGAAUGUAUUUAUUAAAAGUGAGGAUGGAGUUGGGGAACACAAGUUUGAUGUGGAGACUGCAAUAAGGGUGUGCCGUGCUGCCAAUUACCAUGAGCAUGCAAUGUAUGUUGCUAAGAAGGCUGGGAGGCAUGAACUGUAUCUAAAGAUCUUGCUUGAAGACCUUGGCCGAUAUGAUGAGGCCUUGCAGUAUAUUUCAAGCCUUGAACCAAGUCAGGCUGGUGUUACUGUGAAAGAAUAUGGUAAAAUUCUUAUAGAGCACAAGCCAGUUGAGACAAUUGAGAUACUCAUGAGGCUUUGCACUGAGGAUGGGGAAUCAGCUAAGAGAGGAUCUUCGAGUGCUGCAUACUUAUCUAUGUUGCCAUCACCUGUUGAUUUUCUCAACAUUUUCAUGCAUCACCCACAGUCUCUUAUGGACUUUCUUGAAAAAUAUACUGACAAGGUAAAGGAUUCUCCUGCUCAGGUAGAAAUUCACAAUACACUUUUGGAACUGUACCUGUCAAAUGAUUUGAACUUUCCAUCAAUAUCACAAGCUAGCAAUGGUGUAGAUCUUUCUCUCGGAGCAAAAUCAGGAGCACCUAGGAAAUUGAAAGCAGAAUCCAAUGGGAAAUUGAUUGUUGAUCACAAAGAUACAUCCAAGGAAAAAGAGCACAGAGAAAGGCGUGAGAAAGGACUAUGCUUGCUGAAGAGUGCAUGGCCAUCUGACCUGGAGCAUCCACUUUAUGAUGUUGAUCUUGCUAUAAUACUCUGUGAAAUGAAUGGAUUUAGAGAAGGGCUUUUAUAUCUAUAUGAAAAGAUGAAACUAUAUAAAGAGGUGAUUGCUUGCUACAUGCUGGCCCAUGAUCAUGAGGGUUUAAUUGCAUGCUGCAAAAGGCUGGGAGAUUCAGGUAAGGGAGGUGACCCAUCUCUUUGGGCUGAUUUGCUGAAAUAUUUUGGUGAACUAGGAGAAGAUUGCUCCAAAGAAGUGAAGGAAGUUUUGACUUAUAUAGAAAGAGAUGACAUCCUGCCUCCUAUUAUUGUUCUUCAGACCUUGUCCAGAAAUCCAUGCCUUACACUCUCUGUCAUCAAGGAUUAUAUAGCUCGGAAGCUUGAACAAGAGUCAAAGCUUAUUGAAGAGGAUCGUCGAGCAAUUGAGAAGUAUCAGGACGACACAUUGGCAAUGAGAAAAGAAAUUCAGGAUCUUAGGACUAAUGCAAGGAUCUUUCAGCUCAGCAAGUGCACUGCUUGCACUUUCACCCUAGAUCUUCCUGCUGUACACUUCAUGUGCAUGCAUUCAUUCCAUCAGCGUUGCCUUGGUGAUAACGAAAAGGAAUGCCCUGAGUGCGCACCGGAGUACAGGUCUGUUAUGGAGAUGAAGAGGAGUCUGGAGCAUAAUUCUAAAGAUCAAGAUCAGUUUUUUCAGCAAGUGAAGAGUUCUAAGGAUGGAUUUUCUGUGAUUGCUGAGUAUUUUGGAAAAGGGAUCAUUAGCAAAACCAGCAAUGGCCCUACAGGAACCCAGAGAUCUGGCAGUUUGUCUUCCAGCAGUGGCUUCUGAUGUUCUUUGACUGUUGCUCAUUUACAUGUUGCUAUUUCAUGCGGUGUCUUGCUUUUUCUGCUGAAUGUUGUUUGGUAAUUAGACUGAGCUGGGGUAGAAACGAGCUACAAUUGUUCUUGCUACAAUGGAUUUGUUCCUGUUAUGAGAUUGGGCAAAGUUUGUUUUGCCCACUUGAGCUUGCUGUCCAACUAAGAGAAAAUGAUGGCCCAAUGGUGGAAUACUAAGAGAUGCAUUCAUGGCUGUCAUCUGCAUUCUUUUUUACAUUAAAAGUAAACUUGGAAUCUCCCAGAGAGUAGCAUCAAAUUGAGGGCAUGAUAUGUUCAACUUGUGCUAAGGUUUACAGCUGAAUGUUUGUUGCUUGUUUUUUGUUUUCUCCUAAUCCUCAGUUUCAUCAAGUGCUCUAUUUCUUCUUUUACCAUGCAAAAAGCAAAUGUUGAGGCACAUCUUUGAGAAAUCAAUUUGGUUGUGUAUGGUUUGUGAAAUGUUCAUGGUGAAUUUUGUAUAGAUGAAUACUGCAUUGUAUUAAUAACAUGCUUGAUUAGGCCAGAAAAGAAUGCCAUCUUUGGAAUUUCAUAUCAUUUGUGGAAUUGCUACUUUAUUACUGAUUUAUAGACAAACAUGCCUUUUAGUUUCAUUGAGUUUAAUCCCUGAAAGGGAAUUACUCUCACUUGUG
Molecule: unclassified non-coding RNA, 3735 nt
Filed under: Hevea brasiliensis (rubber tree)
Lineage: Eukaryota; Viridiplantae; Streptophyta; Magnoliopsida; Malpighiales; Euphorbiaceae
Source: RNAcentral